CUUCCUGCUGGUCUGGUACUACUGCACCCUGACCAUCCGGGAGAGCAUCCUCAUCAACAACGGCUCCCGGAUCAAAGGCUGGUGGGUGUUCCAUCACUACGUGUCCACCUUCCUGUCGGGAGUCAUGCUGACGUGGCCCGACGGUCUCAUGUACCAGAAAUUCCGGAACCAAUUCCUCUCCUUUUCCAUGUACCAGAGCUUCGUGCAGUUUCUCCAGUACUACUACCAGAGCGGCUGCCUCUACCGCCUGCGGGCGCUGGGCGAGCGGCACACCAUGGACCUCACUGUGGUUCUGGCAGCUUUUUAACGCGCUGACGUUGUUCAACCUGGCCCAGGACCCUCAGUGCAAGGAGUGGCAGGUGCUUAUGUGCGGCUUUCCCUUCCUCCUCCUUUUCCUCGGCAAUUUCUUCACCACCCUGAGGGUUGUGCACCACAAGUUUCACAGUCAGCGGCACGGGAGCAAGAAGGAUUGAGGCUGGGCCUUCCCCUGCCGGCCCAGAGGGGCUUCUGUCCUGUGUGUUGUGGGAGGGGAUGGGAGGCGCCCCUCGAGUGUGCGUGUAUCAGGGGGUCUCUUCUAUUCUCCCUUGGGUUUUAUGGGCGCUGUGGGCCCUGAAGGAAGACCUGGGCCCAGUGCCCUCAAUAAAGAGAGGCCCAGAGGUG
This 660-nucleotide long non-coding RNA is filed under the name Homo sapiens (human). RNAcentral's name for it is "non-protein coding lnc-STYXL1-2:2". The record is from RNAcentral. Lineage: Eukaryota; Metazoa; Chordata; Mammalia; Primates; Hominidae.